CCCGGAAGUAAUAGUCAGCUUUCUUUUUUCCAACACGGGGAACCACAGCACCUAAAGUAUGGAACGUAACAGGUGGGGGCUCUACUUACUGAACACAGCUACGACUUAGCGAAAACAUGGAAAAGUGGUGAACCUUCUCAGGAGUAGCCGGUCAACCAAAAGGACCCCAAGAGUGCAGCGACGACUCAUCCAAGAGGUCACAAAAGACCCCACAACAACAUCCAAAGAAGUGCUGGCCUCACUUGCCUCCGUUAAGGACAAUGAUCCAAAACACACCAGCAAGUCCACCUCUGAAUGACUGAAGGAAAAACCAAAUGAAGACUUUGGAGUGGCCGAGUCAAAGUCCUGACCUGAAUCCUAUUGAGAUGCUGUGGCAUGACCUUAAAAAGGCUUCAUGCUGGAAAAGCCUCCAAUGUGGCUGAAUGACAACAAUCCUCCACAGCACUGGAAGAGACUCAUUGCAAGUUAUCACAAACGCUUGAUUGCAGUUGUUGCUGCUAAGGGUGGCCUAACCAGGCAUUUAUUUUUCAACACACGGCCGUGUAGAUUUGGAUUAGUUUUCUUGGUCUCCAUUAAUAAUAACAUUUCAUUUAAAAACUGCAUUUUGUGUUGAGUUGUGUUGUCAUUGAUGAAUAAUUAGAUACGGAAGAAUGAAGGCUGGUCCAAUCAUUUUUUUUCCAUGACUGUACCCCCAACCCACCCCAAAUAUUCUGGUGCUCCUGCCACUUCCUCUGCUGCUCCUCUUCUCUCUCCUUUGCCAUUUGCAACUUAAACUUUAAUUGCUGAUUCUCGGCUUGUAAUCGGCGAAUUUUUACAACACGCAAGCGAAAGGACAGGAAGUAGAACCUCACCAUCACCACGUAUCAAACGGACUACAGAGCGAUCACAAAACCAUGCAGCACCUGAAGUAGCAUUCAUGAAGUAUUUUAUUCAUAAUUACCUUCAGUUUCUGAUUGUAUUGUUCUAAAUGAACUAGGGAUGGGCACGAUUAAUUCAUGAUCCAUAAUUGAUCAUUAAGAAUUUUGUCGAUCAUGUAAUGUUUUUUUUUCAAUUUUUCGAAAAAUGGUUAAAUAGAGUUCAUGUAGUGUGUGACGAGAAAGCAAUGUAAUGAAUUUCACCAUGUGGUGGUAGUAAAAUAUCCCACCAUCACACCCCCACCCAUGGAUUGCAAUCCGACAGAUUGGUGGAAGGUGAACGACACAAGGUUCCCCAGGCUGGCCGAGUUAGCCAGACAGUAUCUCUGCAUCCCCGCGACUUAGGUCCCAUUAGAGAGGGGCUUUUCAGCUGCUGGACUGACAGUCACUUGGCUUCGUUCACGCCUCACCCUCGAGCAUGUUAACAUGCUAACAUGCUUCAUAAUGCGUCAUUGUUAUGUGGGAUCUCACUCUCUCAGUCGUGCCUUUUGGCAAAAAAAAUUAAAAAAAAGGUCAGCUACGAGUCUACUUUGUUCUUUGAUGAAAUGACUAUUAGUUCAUAAAUAAUAAUGAAGCGGUAGAAAAUGAAUGAAUGAUGUUUUAUUUUU
This is a non-coding RNA of Doryrhamphus excisus (bluestripe pipefish), 1522 nucleotides long. NCBI's taxonomy places the organism in Eukaryota, Metazoa, Chordata, Actinopteri, Syngnathiformes, Syngnathidae. The record is from RefSeq and is a predicted model, not a curated record.